GCCAAUUUCUUUUAGGUAGUCUCCUAAUGGAUUUAUUUUAAACAGAUCCGCAAUGCAUUUCCGAAGAAAGCAGACAUAGGAUGCUAGUCUUUAAACAUGUUGCUGGAUUCUAUUUGCUAGUCUUCAAUUUAUAAUUUUUGCCUUGUUGCUCAUCACUCAGUGAAGCCUCAAGUUUUCCUCUUUGUUUCAGCAUUUUCUGAUUUAGAUGCUACUGUUGUGCUCACAUGAAAAGUGACUUGGGAAACUUUGCACAUUUCCAUGUUGUCCGGAACAGUGUACGUAAUGUAAAGAUGAUCUCAGUGUUGCAAGCUUGAAAAAAAUUGUCAAUACUACACCGCCACCGGACGGACCAUUCUGUCACGUCCCCAUCACCGUCGCCUCUAUUCCUGCGGCUCAGUUCAAGUGUUACGUUCUUUCAGUUAAUCUUGGUAAUUCCUCUUCCUGGGAAAGAAUGAAUUUCAUAGACAGUUUUAAACACAUUAAUGUGGGUUUAUUCUCAGUGCUGUCUUAUAAAAUGUGAAGUUUAUGUUUGCGGUUGAAUAUUCCUCAUCUUUAGCUUUUCAUCUCGAUGCCGUCUUUUCCCUUUCAUCUAUACGUGCCAAGUAUAUCUGUGUAAUUGUGGUUGAGCUUUUCCCCCCAAAAGUGCCAGCUCUCACAUCGAUCUGAGUGGUUAUAAAGUUCUUCCAGGCGAGGCGUGGGGAACGAAUUCGCAGCAUGAAUCAGGAGAGAAAGAAAUAACGGGCCGUUUCUCUGGCGGAAGGCUCAGUGAGCUCAACUUUGUGAGGUUUCACGGGGUGAGGACAUUGACAAUCUCCACGGCUUGUUGUGACAACGUUGUUUAUGUCUCACACAAUCCUAGACCUCAAAGAAGUCUGUCACUCCAAAUAUGGGACGCAUUAGGAUAAAGUCAUAAAUUGGUGCUAACACUGUGCUUGUUCUGGACAAUUAAGGACCUUUUCUUUACUAUUAUGAUCCUCAUCUGAUGAAAAGAAGCAGAGGAAAUGAAAAGCAUCCCCCCCGCCACCACAACAUUGACUGUCAGAACCGUUCUCAGCAGUAAUCAAAGGAGAGAAAGAGGAAAAAUCACUAAGGUCAACCUUUAGGGACUUGGCUUUCAACUCAUAAUGAAAAGAAAAGGAGGAAAAAAAAACACUGAAGAACAAUAUAAUAAUGGUAAUAACAGCUUCAAUAUUGAGAGAUUAUUAUCCAGUGUGUCAGCCGGACUCCCUUAACCGGAAAAGACUUGAAAAUUAAAAGGCACUGCUUUUAUUGAGAAAACCCUCUGACCUAGAUGUCCUGGCAAUCCAGUUGCCCUAAAACUCAUCUGCAGUGCAUUAUCUUCUGGCAAACAUGAUCGAAUUCCCCUCUGAGCCAGGCACUUUGUUGGUCGCUGAGGGUGUCAACACGCACAGAACACAAACUCACAAUAUUUGCUUCUCUUCACUGUGCUUCAGCAGCCUUCAAGGCCACACUGGUUCCUCGGUGUGGGUCUCCAUUUCCGAUCCAUGUCGGCUACACUCAGCGCCUUCGGUCCAUACCUCUGUGGUUAGCACUUGCCUUAUUCCUGCUCCCAGAGGAUAUGCCUGGUGUCUCAUCUCAGCCGUUCCCCAACGUGUUCUUGAGUUAUUAGUCAAAUCGGCUCAUCACCCAGCUAAGAAGCCUCUUGGUCACAUCAUCUUGAUUCCCCUCCAUGCACGACAGUCUCUCUAAACCUUAGUUUUCUCGUCUCUUUGGAAGUUUGGAAUAUAUUGUACGUGGUUUUAUGGGACAGUAAUUUUUUUAGAAUGGAAUACUGCCGGGGGAAAAUGAGUGGCUCCCUUCAGUUGGUGGAGUCUUGCCAGAUAAGACUCGGGAUGAGGCUGAGGUGCCCAUCCAACAAUGGAGCCCUGGUAAGACGUUACCCCGUCUCGUGCAGUGUGGUUUAAAGACUCGGGUACAGACAAUGGAGAAGCAUGGCAAUGAAGACUCUGAUCAUGGAACUGUUUUCAACAAUGUCUGGUGACAUCAAUUUGUGAAUUGUUAUUUUCAAGUUGGAUUUGCGAGUUAAUUUGUAGGGGUCCAAAUGUAGACACGUUGCCUCUUCUCUGGCAUGUAUGUUAUCCAUGAUACAUUUCAUAUGUGUGGUCCCAGCACAGGGGGCCUGACACAGGGAAGGGGCACUUCGAACAUGUAGACAUCUAUGAACAGAAGAAAUGCUGACCUCAACCUGUGAUACCUCCAAAGCAUUCUAUCUUCAAUCCCAGAAAUCUGGGGAAAUGAGGACUUGAGAUCUGUCCAAUGAGAAUGACCACACCCGACUCACAGUUAUUGAGAUCAGUGAACGUAAAUACAAGGACGAGCCGUUAACUCUAAUGGAAGGUCUGUUCUUGACAACUGGACUUCCAAUUAAUAAUCUGGUCGGUGAUUAAAUCUGCUAUUGAUUCCCCAUCAAGGAGCUCAAGGUAUUUGGGUGCUCUUUCGAUCUCAAAAGAGGCAGAGGCGCCUUCUGUUUGUCUACGUCUUAACUUAGCUUUGCCAUUGGGAAUAUGCGGUUGUGGAGAAGUCUUUAAACGCUUCUACUGUGAGCUGUCGGAAAGUUUGCUCUAACUUCUCAGGUCUCCCGUCCGGUGUGUCCAAAUAAGUGCAACAGAACGAGGAGGAUAUUAUGUCCUGAUCACAGCACUAACCCUUUUUCUUCCGUGCCUCACCUAAAGGACAGUUUCAGGACAACGUUGACUUAAAUGGGUGCCGGGCAGACAUGUCCAGUGUCCUGAGGCACAUUUGUCCACUUCAGCUACACUGUAACUGGCACAGCCACUGAAAGAUGAUAAGUCAAGGUCACCAGGAGCCCAAGAUUGCCGCAGUGGGUCAGAUUGACAUCUUUGGGCCAUAUAUCUAAUUCCGGACUGAUGAUUUGUUAAUGGGGAGUUCUGCAUCUCUCCAGCCUUCUCUAUGGGCUUUGCUCACAAAGAGAAAUGAUAACACAGAAAUACGUAGGAAACCAGCUUCUGAAAGUGGCUCUAGAGUUCUCCCUUUUUUUUUUUUUCUUAAUUUAAAAGACCGUGGAGCCAACAGAGAGCUUAAAUAAUGCCUAUUGAGUUUCUUUGCAAGGAAGAAUAAACAUGCAAUAAAUAAAUGCAUAUUGAGUUUCUUUGGAAGAAAGAUACUAUUAAGGAGAAUGCUUGGCUGGCCACCUGGAAAUACAUGCAUUUUGAAUUCGGUUCCCUUGAGCAAAGCAUUCAGGUUAGGCCUCCUUUCUUAAUUAAUAACAGAACUGCUCUCUUUGAGAAGUAAGGUAGCUAUGGCACCAAAUAAGAACUACAACUGAGCUGUUGCAUUUUUAGAUGCCCUGUGUAACAUUCCUACUUGAGACAGAGGCAGAAAGGCUGUAAUUAUGUAUGUAGAGAGUAAUUAUGGCAACAGUUGACGGAAAUAAGAUGCUGGGGGCAGAAAGAACAUGGAGAGCAAAGGUAGCUAACUAGUUUUAUUAGGCCCCACACAGUGCCCAGUGUCUAAAGAGAUACGGUUUUGCAAUGAAUUACCAGUAUUUGAAAACCAGGCAGCUUCACGUAAAAAUCCAAACUCCUGCCAUCUCUUGGAAGAACUCCUGGCUUUCAUUCUGCUGCGGCACCUGUCAGAGAUGCUCCGCCCCCUUCGCCAGCCCACGCCCACUAGCUUCCUACCUGUAGGCAUUGGAGUCUUUUUUUUUUUUAUAUAUGAAAUUUAUUGACAAACUGGUUUCCAUACAACACCCAGUGCUCAUCCCAAAAGGUGCCCUCCUCAAUA
Molecule: long non-coding RNA, 3765 nt
Organism: Felis catus (domestic cat)
Lineage: Eukaryota; Metazoa; Chordata; Mammalia; Carnivora; Felidae
Exons: 3
Source: RefSeq, a predicted model, not a curated record